UUGCUGGAUUCUAUUAUUGGAUUGGUAAAAUUACAGGUCUACAAUAUCCUGAAACUUUAGGUCAAAUUCACUUUUGGCUUU
RNAcentral lists this transfer RNA (81 nucleotides) under Chloropicon maureeniae. Lineage: Eukaryota; Viridiplantae; Chlorophyta; Chloropicophyceae; Chloropicales; Chloropicaceae. The record is from RNAcentral.